GAUGAAGAACGCAGCGAAAUGCGAUAAGUAAUGUGAAUUGCAGAAUUCAGUGAAUCAUCGAAUCUUUGAACGCACCUUGCGCCCUUUGGCUAUUCCGAAGGGCAUGCCUGUUUGAGUAUCGUGAACACCUCAACUCUCAUGGUUUGCCAUGAUGAGCUUGGAUUUUGGGGGUUUUGCUGGCCUUUGGUCGGCUCCUCUCAAACGGAUCAGCUUUCCAGUGUUUGGUGGCGUCACGGGUGUGAUAACUAUCUACGCCUGUGGUUUUCUGCCAGAUAACCUUCAGCGAUGGAGGUUCGCUGGGGCUCAUAAAUGUCUCUCUUCAGUGGAGACAGCUUUUUGGACGUUUGAUCUCAAAUCAGGUAGGACUACCCGCUGAACUUAAGCAUAUCAAUAAGCGGAGGA
Molecule: unclassified non-coding RNA, 402 nt
Filed under: soil metagenome
Description: partial contains 5.8S ribosomal RNA, internal transcribed spacer 2, and large subunit ribosomal RNA
Rfam family: 5.8S ribosomal RNA (bases 1-121)
Source: RNAcentral